AUGUGUCAGCCUGACCCAAGCUCGACAUGUGAAUUUUGUUGUGACAUCUGGAUCCUCAUAGACCGCCCUGAUGAUGGACGUCUGCCCGAGAUCAGCACUUGUUCCCCACACGGCAUCUGUCAGCUGCUGGCUGCUUGGAGGAGGAAGAAGAAGCAGCAUCUGAGGAGCCCUUGA
This 174-nucleotide ribosomal RNA is filed under the name Triticum aestivum (bread wheat). RNAcentral's name for it is "partial small subunit ribosomal RNA". The record is from RNAcentral. Lineage: Eukaryota; Viridiplantae; Streptophyta; Magnoliopsida; Poales; Poaceae.